GACAAAUUAAUGCCAAAGGAAGGGCUGCAUUGUAGUGCCUAUGAUUUGUUGCAUGUGUAUUGCGUGGAACGCUUGAGGAAAGAGCUCGAUUCCAUCCUAUAUAUCGGUAACCAUUAUCUCUAGCUUCAAAAUCCCAAACAAACCCAAACGACGCUGGUAACCAAGAUCCCCAACAAAGACCUAUAUCUCAAUGAAUUUGUUUGGGUCUCAGCAAAUUGGGAAUUCCGAGCCAGAGAUGAUAAUGUAUGUUCUCUCCGUAGGCAUAACGGAAACAUUCCUUAUAGUAAGUUCUUUUCGUACCUCAGUUACCUUGAUUUUAUUACACUUGUAUAAAUCUGAAUGUUGCUAAUCAGACACCUUCCACCUCAGUUGACAUGUUUCAGGGUUCAAUAGCUCGUUCUAGAAGAGGAUUGAUUAGUGCACUGAGGUGAUAAAGAGCAUAAACAACUGCUAAAGCCCCAAGACAUAAAGCCCCUCCCUUGGUACGAUCCAGUUUACCGUCACGUCAACCCCCACCAAGUGGAGUAGCUUAGACAAGUCAAGCUCCCAUCACUCGCAUUCGAGACCGAGCUUUUCAAUACCAGAGAUCCAGCUCGCUUGAAUUGUCUUCAUCGUGCUAGCUGCUACCAUAGCUGCUGAAGAGGAAGAUGA
Molecule: long non-coding RNA, 651 nt
Filed under: Actinidia chinensis (golden kiwifruit)
Lineage: Eukaryota; Viridiplantae; Streptophyta; Magnoliopsida; Ericales; Actinidiaceae
Description: long non-coding RNA (ACHI_LNC005960)
Source: RNAcentral